AUUGAACGCUGGCGGCAUGCCUUACACAUGCAAGUCGAACGGCAGCACGGGUGCUUGCACCUGGUGGCGAGUGGCGAACGGGUGAGUAAUACAUCGGAACAUGUCCUGUAGUGGGGGAUAGCCCGGCGAAAGCCGGAUUAAUACCGCAUACGAUCUACGGAUGAAAGCGGGGGACCUUCGGGCCUCGCGCUAUAGGGUUGGCCGAUGGCUGAUUAGCUAGUUGGUGGGGUAAAGGCCUACCAAGGCGACGAUCAGUAGCUGGUCUGAGAGGACGACCAGCCACACUGGGACUGAGACACGGCCCAGACUCCUACGGGAGGCAGCAGUGGGGAAUUUUGGACAAUGGGCGAAAGCCUGAUCCAGCAAUGCCGCGUGUGUGAAGAAGGCCUUCGGGUUGUAAAGCACUUUUGUCCGGAAAGAAAUCCUGGGACCUAAUACGGUCGGGGGAUGACGGUACCGGAAGAAUAAGCACCGGCUAACUACGUG
Molecule: ribosomal RNA, 486 nt
Filed under: uncultured bacterium
Lineage: Bacteria
Description: partial 16S ribosomal RNA
Rfam family: Bacterial small subunit ribosomal RNA
Source: RNAcentral